Molecule: non-coding RNA, 30 nt
Filed under: Mus musculus (house mouse)
Lineage: Eukaryota; Metazoa; Chordata; Mammalia; Rodentia; Muridae
Source: RNAcentral
UCCUAUGCAAACAUUGGCUAGCUCUUGAUA